UCUUUAAGUAGCCUUGGAGCAACCCAGUUCACUUCCAGCUCUGGUUUAAGAGAGGUCUCCAAAGAUUGAAUGAAAGCUUGGUUCUCAGCAGGUGGUGCUACUGAAAAUGGCUGGAGAUGAGGGUAAGGAUGCUAAUCCAUUUGUUGGAUGAGUUUUUAAGAGGUGGAGCCUGAUUGGAGGAGGUUAUGUCACUGGGUAGCAUGCCUUUGAAGCAUAUAUAGGUUAAAUCUUGGCUCAACAUCUCCCAUCCUGCUCCUGGACUCUAGCUGCCAUGAGGUGAGUAGUUUUGAUCCAUCUCAAAUAUGUUCUGCUAAAACGUAGGCCCAAAGAAUGGGGUCAAAUGGGAUGGGCAAACUCUGUGACUCUUCUUAAAUAUCACAUGAAAAAUAAACUACAAUAAAACCAGGUGAAACUUCAGGGUAGAGAAGCAGACAGAGAAUGCUGAACAAAUAUAAGAAUAAUCAGAAAACAAAGCAGUCAUGAUGGUGCCAACUUAGAAUCCCAGGUACUGGGAGGCUGAUUGCUUAGUGGCUCUAGAAGUUCUGGGUUUGGGUAACAUAUUAAGACUCAGUCUCAAAACAAAAA
Perognathus longimembris pacificus (Pacific pocket mouse) is the source of this 585-nucleotide long non-coding RNA. RefSeq lists it as uncharacterized. The record is from RefSeq and is a predicted model, not a curated record. Lineage: Eukaryota; Metazoa; Chordata; Mammalia; Rodentia; Heteromyidae. The transcript is spliced from 2 exons.